Molecule: unclassified non-coding RNA, 245 nt
Filed under: uncultured Sordariales
Lineage: Eukaryota; Fungi; Ascomycota; Sordariomycetes; Sordariales
Description: sequence contains ITS2
Source: RNAcentral
AACGCACAUUGCGCCCGCUAGUAUUCUGGCGGGCAUGCCUGUUCGAGCGUCAUUUCAACCAUCAAGCCCCAGGCUUGUGUUGGGGUCCUGCGGCCGCCGCAGCCCCCGAAAAGUAGUGGCGGGCUCACGAUUAUACCGAGCGCAGUAAUACAUCUCGCGAGGGAGUGAUGGUGGGUUCCAGCCGUUAAACACCCCAAUUUAUCAAGGUUGACCUCGGAUAAGGUAGGAAUACCCGCUGAACUUAA